Molecule: ribosomal RNA, 481 nt
Filed under: uncultured bacterium
Lineage: Bacteria
Description: bacterial SSU rRNA
Rfam family: Bacterial small subunit ribosomal RNA
Source: RNAcentral
GAUGAACGCUAGCGGCAGGCUUAAUACAUGCAAGUCAAGGGGGUAGCAAUACAACCGGCGCACGGGUGAGUAACGCGUACACAACAUACCAUAUACUGGAGUAUAGCUUUGGGAAACUGAAGGUAAUCCUCCAUAACAUUGCGAGAGGGCAUCUGAUUGCAAUUAAAGUUUCGGCGGUAUAUGAUUGGUGUGCGUUUGAUUAGCUAGUUGGUAGGGUAACGGCCUACCAAGGCGACGAUCAAUAGCUGGCGUGAGAGCGCGACCAGCCACACUGGAACUGAGACACGGUCCAGACUCCUACGGGAGGCAGCAGUAGGGAAUAUUGGACAAUGGAGGAAACUCUGAUCCAGCCAUGCCGCGUGAUAGAUGAGGGCCCUCUGGGUUGUAAAUAUCUUUUAUCUGGGAAGAAACACUCCUAUUCUUAGGAACUUGACGGUACCAGAGGAAUAAGCACCGGCUAACUCCGUGCCAGCAGCCGCGG